CGUGGCGAGCAUACAGGAUUAGAUACCCCGGUAGUGCACGCUGUAAAAGAUGAGUUUCUUUCUGAUAGGGGCUCCACCUACCCGGGGCGAGGAAAUUACACUUUAAUCAUUCUGCCUGGGGUGUACCCUCGCAAGAGUGACACUCAAAGGAGGCACGGGGAUCCACACCAGCAGUGGAGUAUGUGCGUUUAAUUCGAAGCAACGCGAAGAACCUUAGCAGGUGUUGACAUCCUUCGGAUCGUCGCGGAGAUGGGGCUUUCCUUGGGGACGGAGGAGACAGGUGGUGCAUGGUUGUCGUCAGCUGGUGUUGUGAGAUGUUGGGUUAACUCCCGCAAGGAGCGCAACCCUUGAUUUAGUUUCCAGCACUUGGGGUGGGCACUCUAAGGUGACUGCCGGUGACAAACCGGAGGAAGGUGGGGAUGACGUCAAAUUAUCAUGCCCCUUUUGACCUGGGCUACACACGUACUACAAUGGCCGGUACAACGGGCUGUGAAGCCGCGAGGUGGAACGAAUCCUAAAAAGCCGGUCUCAGUUCGGAUUGCAGGCUGCAACUCGCCUGCAUGAAGUCGGAAUUGCUAGUAAUCGCGGAUCAGCAUGCCGCGGUGAAUACGUUCCCGGGUCUUGUACACACCGCCCGUCACACCACGAGAGUUUAUAACACCCGAAGUCGGUGGGGUAACCGCAAGGAGCCCAGCCGCCGAAGGUGGGAAUAGUGA
Molecule: ribosomal RNA, 716 nt
Filed under: Paenibacillus pabuli
Lineage: Bacteria; Bacillati; Bacillota; Bacilli; Caryophanales; Paenibacillaceae
Description: bacterial SSU rRNA
Rfam family: Bacterial small subunit ribosomal RNA
Source: RNAcentral